RNAcentral lists this long non-coding RNA (697 nucleotides) under Ursus maritimus (polar bear). Its description in RNAcentral is "lncRNA (ENSUMAG00000002416.1)". The record is from RNAcentral. Lineage: Eukaryota; Metazoa; Chordata; Mammalia; Carnivora; Ursidae.
CGCUGAUCUGGAAGCAGCACAUAGCUCAGAUGUAAGACGGACGUGUGCCAAAGUGGUAGACAAACCAACUCUUGCUACCAAGUACUGUCUCAGUCGGGGUCCCGUAAGAAAACCUGGGAGGUUUGUCGUCAACUAUUACAACAAAGGGAAAAACUGCAGUACGUCUGCUAUUGGUUUCCGACGGUCGCCUGUAGCGGGUGCUUCUGUCUUCGGCGCUGAGUGUCAGAAGAGCCUGACAUGCUGUCCUUACCUGCGAGUCAGUUCUGCUGAGCCCGUGUUAUAACUAACCUUAUGCCCGAGAGGCCACCAUCCCCAGCCUCCUGGGACAAUGAAAAAUCACUGGAGCUUUUUGAAACAAGAGGUCACGAGGAGUAUUUGAGGAUUCAUUCGUCAGGUUAGUUGGAACCUCUGAUGUGGGCCAGCUCAUGUUUCCAAUUUGGGACUCGGAGCAAGCAGUCAGCCCUGUAGCGUUCUCAUCCCGCUUGACGUCAGCGCUGAGAGCCGCGGUAUCUUUAGGAGCUCACUGUGCAGGGUGACGCCAGCUGGAUGAGUCGUCCCCGUGGAAAACAGCUCCCUUGGCAUAGGUUUGUGAAGCUACAAUUUGUCAGUGGUACCCGGACCUUUCUUCUAGAAAUUGCUAUUACCGCCCCACAUGGGAGGCAGAUCUGAAAGGGGAAAUUUAAUUUUCCCACCAACU